AGAGUUUGAUCUUGGCUCAGGAUGAACGCUAGCUACAGGCUUAACACAUGCAAGUCGAGGGGAAACGAUAUUGGAAGCUUGCUUCCGAUAGGCGUCGACCGGCGCACGGGUGAGUAACGCGUAUCCAACCUGCCCAUCACUUGGGGAUAACCUUGCGAAAGUAAGACUAAUACCCAAUGACGUCUCUAGGAGACAUCUGAAGGAGAUUAAAGAUUUAUCGGUGAUGGAUGGGGAUGCGUCUGAUUAGCUUGUUGGCGGGGUAACGGCCCACCAAGGCAACGAUCAGUAGGGGUUCUGAGAGGAAGGUCCCCCACAUUGGAACUGAGACACGGUCCAAACUCCUACGGGAGGCAGUAGUGAGGAAUAUUGGUCAAUGGGCGAGAGCCUGAACCAGCCAAGUAGCGUGCAGGAAGACGGCCCUAUGGGUUGUAAACUGCUUUUAUAAGGGAAUAAAGUUAGUCUCGUGAGACUUUUUGUAUGUACCUUAUGAAUAAGGACCGGCUAAUUCCGUGCCAGCAGCCGCGGUAAUACGGAAGGUCCGGGCGUUAUCCGGAUUUAUUGGGUUUAAAGGGAGCGUAGGCCGGAGAUUAAGCGUGUUGUGAAAUGUAGACGCUCAACGUCUGCACUGCAGCGCGAACUGGUUUCCUUGAGUACGCACAAAGUGGGCGGAAUUCGUGGUGUAGCGGUGAAAUGCUUAGAUAUCACGAAGGACUCCGAUUGCGAAGGCAGCUCACUGGAGCGCAACUGACGCUGAAGCUCGAAAGUGCGGGUAUCGAACAGGAUUAGAUACCCUGGUAGUCCGCACGGUAAACGAUGGAUGCCCGCUGUUGGUCUGAACAGGUCAGCGGCCAAGCGAAAGCAUUAAGCAUCCCACCUGGGGAGUACGCCGGCAACGGUGAAACUCAAAGGAAUUGACGGGGGCCCGCACAAGCGGAGGAACAUGUGGUUUAAUUCGAUGAUACGCGAGGAACCUUACCCGGGCUUGAAUUGCAGGGGAAGGAUUUGGAGACAAUGACGCCCUUCGGGGUCUCUGUGAAGGUGCUGCAUGGUUGUCGUCAGCUCGUGCCGUGAGGUGUCGGCUUAAGUGCCAUAACGAGCGCAACCCCUCUCCUUAGUUGCCAUCAGGUUAAGCUGGGCACUCUGGGGACACUGCCACCGUAAGGUGUGAGGAAGGUGGGGGUGACGUCAAAUCAGCACGGCCCUUACGUCCGGGGCUACACACGUGUUACAAUGGCAGGUACAGA
Molecule: ribosomal RNA, 1244 nt
Filed under: metagenome
Description: bacterial SSU rRNA
Rfam family: Bacterial small subunit ribosomal RNA
Source: RNAcentral